AGAGUUUGAUCAUGGCUCAGAUUGAACGCUGGCGGCAUGCCUAACACAUGCAAGUCGAACGGAAACGAUGCUAGCUUGCUAGCAGGCGUCGAGUGGCGGACGGGUGAGUAAUGUAUAGGAACUUGCCCAGUAGUGGGGGACAACUUAUGGAAACGUAAGCUAAUACCGCAUAAUCUCUACGGAGGAAAGCAGGGGCUCUUUGGACCUUGUGCUACUGGAUAGGCCUAUAUUGGAUUAGCUAGUUGGUGAGGUAAAGGCUCACCAAGGCGACGAUCCAUAGCUGGUUUGAGAGAAUGAUCAGCCACACUGGGACUGAGACACGGCCCAGACUCCUACGGGAGGCAGCAGUGGGGAAUAUUGCACAAUGGAGGAAACUCUGAUGCAGCAAUGCCGCGUGUGUGAAGAAGGCCUUAGGGUUGUAAAGCACUUUCAAUAGGGAGGAAAAGUAAGUAGUUAAUACCUGCUUACCGUGACGUUACCUAUAGAAGAAGGACCGGCUAACUCCGUGCCAGCAGCCGCGGUAAUACGGAGGGUCCGAGCGUUAAUCGGAAUUACUGGGCGUAAAGCGCGCGUAGGCGGAUAUAUAAGUCAGAUGUGAAAGCCCUGGGCUCAACCUAGGAACUGCAUUUGAAACUGUAUAUCUAGAGUAUGGUAGAGGUGAGUGGAAUUUCAGGUGUAGCGGUGAAAUGCGUAGAGAUCUGAAGGAACAUCAGUGGCGAAGGCGACUCACUGGGCCAUUACUGACGCUGAGGUGCGAAAGCGUGGGUAGCACACAGGAUUAGAUA
RNAcentral lists this ribosomal RNA (785 nucleotides) under uncultured bacterium. RNAcentral's name for it is "bacterial SSU rRNA". It matches the Rfam family "Bacterial small subunit ribosomal RNA", at positions 8 to 784 of the family's 1533-position model. The record is from RNAcentral.